AGUUGUGGGGGAUAACCCACCGAAAGGUGGGCUAAUACCGCAUGAUCUGGCGACAGCAAAGCGGGGGAUCGCAAGACCUCGCGCGAUUGGAGCGGCCGAUGUCCGAUUAGCUAGUUGGUGGGGUAAAGGCCUACCAAGGCGACGAUCGGUAGCUGGUCUGAGAGGAUGAUCAGCCACACUGGGACUGAGACACGGCCCAGACUCCUACGGGAGGCAGCAGUGGGGAAUUUUGGACAAUGGGGGCAACCCUGAUCCAGCCAUGCCGCGUGAGUGAAGAAGGCCUUCGGGUUGUAAAGCUCUUUCGGUAGGAACGAAACGGUUACGACUAAUACUCGUGACUAAUGACGGUACUUACAGAAGAAGCACCGGCUAACUACGUGCCAGCAGCCGCGGUAAUACGUAGGGUGCGAGCGUUAAUCGGAAUCACUGGGCGUAAAGCGUGCGCAGGCGGUUAUUUAAGUCAGGUGUGAAAGCCCUGGGCUUAACCUAGGAAUUGCGCUUGAGACUGGAUAGCUUGGAGUGUGGCAGAGGGAGGUGGAAUUCCACGUGUAGCAGUGAAAUGCGUAGAGAUGUGGAGGAACACCGAUGGCGAAGGCAGCCUCCUGGGCCAGCACUGACGCUCAUGCACGAAAGCGUGGGGAGCAAACAGGAUUAGAUACCCUGUAGUCCACGCCCUAAACGAUGUCGACUGGUUGUUGGUGGGGUUAAACCCAUUAGUAACGAAGCUAACGCGUGAAGUCGACCGCCUGGGGAGUACGGCCGCAAGGUUAAAACUCAAAGGAAUUGACGGGGACCCGCACAAGCGGUGGAUGAUGUGGAUUAAUUCGAUGCAACGCGAAGAACCUUACCUACCCUUGACAUGUACGGAAGCUCGAUGAGAGUCGAGUGUGCCCGAAAGGGAGCCGUAACACAGGUCUGCAUGGCUGUCGUCAGCUCGUGUCGUGAGAUGUUGGGUUAAGUCCCGCAACGAGCGUAACCCUUGUCACUAGUUGCUACGCAAGGGCACUCUAGUGAGACUGCCGGUGACAAACCGGAGGAAGGUGGGGAUGACGUCAAGUCCUCAUGGCCCUUAUGGGUAGGGCUUCACACGUCAUACAAUGGCGCAUACAGAGGGCUGCCAACCCGCGAGGGGGAGCCAAUCCCAGAAAGUGCGUCGUAGUCCGGAUUGCAGUCUGCAACUCGACUGCAUGAAGUCGGAAUCGCUAGUAAUCGCGGAUCAGCAAUGUCGCGGUGAAUACGUUCCCGGGUCUUGUACACACCGCCCGUCACACCAUGGGAGUGGGUUUCACCAGAAGCCGGUUGCCUAACCUGCGAAAGAGGGCGCUGACCACGGUGAGAUUCAUGACCG
Molecule: ribosomal RNA, 1348 nt
Filed under: metagenome
Description: bacterial SSU rRNA
Rfam family: Bacterial small subunit ribosomal RNA
Source: RNAcentral